This is a long non-coding RNA of Oreochromis niloticus (Nile tilapia), 663 nucleotides long. RefSeq lists it as uncharacterized. NCBI's taxonomy places the organism in Eukaryota, Metazoa, Chordata, Actinopteri, Cichliformes, Cichlidae. The record is from RefSeq and is a predicted model, not a curated record. The transcript is spliced from 2 exons.
UCAGUAACACUCAUCAGUACAGCUCUGCUAACCUCUGUGAAGUUCUAGUCUGUUCUGUGUUUCUUUGUAUAUAGAUUCCUGAACUCGUCCCCGUUUCUUUACCUGUUCCCCUGAGUCUGGCAGUGAAGCGUGGAGAGAACCUGGUCUGCGCCCGAGCCCGUUCCACCUGCGUGAGACUGGAUCUGAAUUCAGAGUGCGAAAGCAGCUCAUGCAGACAUAAACAGGUGGUGGGAAGUGACAACAUGAUGAUGUGAAGGUCGUGAACCAUAGUAUGGCUGAACACAGAGUGAUAGAGACCACAUCUGACCCCAGAUCCAUCCCCUCCCGGGCGGGAACCCUACAUACAAGAGAGAGGGACAAUGGAUAGGGAAUAUGCACUGACCUAACUAUCAUAAAGCCAGAAAAUGCACUUUCACCAAAUAUUAGAGAAAACUCCAGUUCAUUCACUUGUUAAAUUGGUGGAGUUAUAGUUGGAAUAAACAAGAUCAGGAUCCACAGAAAACUUCAAUUAAACAACUGAGGAUGCUACAUAGGAAAGCUCAAUCUGUCUUCCCUAUUGCGGAUGUGUUUUGGGGUUUGACACCUUUAAAACUGGAGUGUUAUAUAAAAAUCUGUAAUUAUUCAUUCUGAAUGAUUCUUAGACAUCACAAUAGUUUAUCUCAA